AACGUAGGACGCAAGCGUUAUCCGGAGUUACUGGGCGUAAAGCGCGGGCAGGCGGCUCGAUGCGUCUGAUGUGAAAUCUCCUCGCUCAACGGGGAGAGGCCAUUGGAAACGGUCAAGCUCGAGUCCGGAAGAGGCGAGUGGAAUUCCUGGUGUAGCGGUGAAAUGCGCAGAUAUCAGGAGGAACACCAAUGGCGAAGGCAGCUCGCUGGGACGUGACUGACGCUGAGACGCGAAAGCGUGGGGAGCGAACAGG
RNAcentral lists this ribosomal RNA (253 nucleotides) under uncultured bacterium. Its description in RNAcentral is "partial 16S ribosomal RNA". It matches the Rfam family "Bacterial small subunit ribosomal RNA", at positions 524 to 776 of the family's 1533-position model. The record is from RNAcentral.